UCGGGGAUUUGGCGGCGGCGGCGGCGGCGAAAGUGGAGGAUGGAGUGGUGAUUCCAAUUUCGAGAAUUCAUCAUCCUCGCGAUUUGGGAUUCUUGCUCAUUUCCUGAAUGGAUGGCGAUCAAGGGUGGCUGCGGAUCCACAAUUCCCUUUCAAGGUUCUAAUGGAGGAAUUGGUGGGUGUCUCCGCUUGUGUUCUUGGUGACAUGGCUUCUCGUCCUAAUUUUGG
This 225-nucleotide unclassified non-coding RNA is filed under the name Hevea brasiliensis (rubber tree). Lineage: Eukaryota; Viridiplantae; Streptophyta; Magnoliopsida; Malpighiales; Euphorbiaceae. The record is from RNAcentral.